Molecule: ribosomal RNA, 253 nt
Filed under: uncultured bacterium
Lineage: Bacteria
Description: partial 16S ribosomal RNA
Rfam family: Bacterial small subunit ribosomal RNA
Source: RNAcentral
AACGUAGGGGACAAGCGUUACCCGGAUUUACUGGGCGUAAAGCGCCCGUAGGCGGCCUGACAAGUUGGACGUGAAAGCUCCUGGCUUAACUGGGAGAGGCCGUUCAAAACUGUCAAGCUAGAGUCUGGAAGAGGAGAGCGGAAUUCCCGGUGUAGUGGUGGAAUGCGUAGAGAUCGGGAAGAACAUCGGUGGCGAAAGCGCUCUACUGGACUGCAACUGACACUCAGGGACGAAAGCUAGGGGAGCGAAUGGG